CAAAUUCAAGUAAUAUCUCAAAAUAAACCUCAACGUGAUACAAUUUUCAUUCCUAAACCGCUUAAGUCUUUUGUUGAAGUCGUCGUAAAUGUUUGCAACAUCCCCCUUAGUCAGGUACCAACACCAUGUGUAAAAGGAGAUAGGCUUUCUAUUACAAUCCUAGAAUAUGAAUACCAGAUAGGGUUGGAAGCCUACAAGCACAAUCUUCAUGGUAGAAUCAUUUGGCUUAAGGGUUCAAGUCCUCUAACAGUUGUUGCUUUGGAAGCAAAACUAUCUCAGCUAUGGAGUUCUAUUAUCAAAUGGGGACUCACCUCACUUGAGAAAGGUUUUUUUUUUUUUAGUUUUCCUUUUCUACUCUAG
Molecule: non-coding RNA, 360 nt
Organism: Vicia faba (fava bean)
Lineage: Eukaryota; Viridiplantae; Streptophyta; Magnoliopsida; Fabales; Fabaceae
Source: the annotation of a GenBank genome assembly